Molecule: ribosomal RNA, 486 nt
Filed under: uncultured bacterium
Lineage: Bacteria
Description: bacterial LSU rRNA
Rfam family: Bacterial large subunit ribosomal RNA
Source: RNAcentral
CGAAGCCGCGAGCCCGUAGGCGGUAGCGGAGCGUUCCGUAAGCCUGUGAGGCGACCCGUGAGGGCGCCUGGAGGUAGUCGGAAGUGCGAAUGCAGACAUGAGUAACGAGAGGAGUGUGAGAAUCACUCCCGCCGAAAGUCCAAGGGUUCCUGCGUAAAGCUAAUCUGCGCAGGGUUAGCCGGCCCCUAAGGCGAGGGCGAAAGCCGUAGUCGAUGGGAACCACGUCAAUAUUCGUGGGCCAGUGGGUGAGUGACGGAUGCCGCAAGUUGUCGAGGCUUAUCGGAUUGCCGAGGCAGCGAAGGUGUUCCAGGAAAAUAGCCCCCACAUCAGACCGUACCCUAAACCGACACAGGUGGACUGGUAGAGAAUACCAAGGCGCUUGAGAGAAGUGUGCUGAAGGAACUCGGCAAAUUACCUGCGUAACUUCGGGAUAAGCAGGCCACCCGUCUGGGCAACCAGACGAGUGGGGCACAAACCAGGGGGUGG